CAAGGUAUAGCAAAAUGCACGUAAGUAAUGUUAUAAGAUAACUUAUUACAGUUAAGCUUUAAUUAUUAAUCAGUGAAGCAGUGAUCGAAAUAUUUCUGGAAUAUACUGAUUAGCAUUCAAGAAACAAUAAACAAGUGGUUGAAGUAAUAGUCACUUUGGGUUUAGUGCUGUUGUUUAAAAGUGUCUAUUCCCAGUCAACAUGUCAGUCUGUCACUGAUCAGUAUUUUGUGAAAAUACGGCUAGUUGGAAACCUUCAAAUCAAAACACUGCAAUUAUACGUGAUAAACUAUGUACAUGUUCUCCCAACGUCAUCUGCUUUCUGAAGUACAAGGUUGUUGGAGAGCUUACGGCAGUGUUCGCACUUGACGUCACAAAUGCUGCAGACCUUGAUGAAUGCCUUACCAAUAUUACUAGGAAAGGGUUCACGGACAUUCAAACUUUUCCCUUGGUGAGCUACGCAGCCUUUGCACAAUUCCUUGGAGUUGAAAGUGAUCUGACUGCGAGUGUGGACAAAUCCAUCCUAACAGAUGACAUUCAGGCGUUAUGGUGUGAGGUCAACAUAGAAUUUACUGGUUUAAACAGCACACAAGCGAUGGACCUAUGGAAACGGGAGGCGGAGGCCGUUCUGAACCUGAUUGUAGCUGGUGUUCAUUUGGUUCCCCUGAAACUUUCUGGAGAAAAAACAGUGCACAUCUUUAUCAAGCUGCCAGUUACCGCUGUGGAGGGACCUUUCUUUACAAACCCGUUGUUUGACGAGAAUGGCGACAAGAUGAAGGUCCGCUGUAAAACUGUGUUGCAAAUCAACCAGCCAUGCAUCUGAACAUGUGUCCUCUUUUCGCACAGCUGUAUUUUAUAUACUGUUUGAACAUAAGGAAGCUAAUAAAAUUCAGUAAAAUCCCUGA
Mya arenaria is the source of this 902-nucleotide RNA transcript. RefSeq lists it as uncharacterized. NCBI's taxonomy places the organism in Eukaryota, Metazoa, Mollusca, Bivalvia, Myida, Myidae. The record is from RefSeq and is a predicted model, not a curated record. The transcript is spliced from 7 exons.